AAAAAUAACACUCAAAAACUAAAAUGACCAAAAUAACAUUUUAUCUUUUGAAAAUUUUAAUUUUUUUAUUUUUUAAAAUUUGAAAUCUUAUCCCCAAAACCUCAUUUCUCAACUCUAAACCCUAAACCCUAAAUCCUAAACCCUAAACCCUAAACUCUAAACCUUAAACCCUAAACCCUAAACCCUAAAUCCUAAACUCUAAACCCCACCCUUUAACUCUAAACCCUAAGUUUGUGACUUUUGAUAAAACAUUAAGUGCUAUUUUUGUGACUUUUGACCUUGAGUGCUAAUUUGGGAACAAAAACUUGAUUUAGUACUAUUUUUAUUUUUUUCUCAAAAAUAAAGCUGAAAUUAAAUAAAAUUCGAAGCUACAAUGCUAUUAUAUGUUCAAACACAUCCCAUGAUUAUGUUAUUCUUUCACAAGGCAGGACCAUCGUUAGCCCUUAGUCCAAGAACAUCAACCAUGGGUUUGUAGCUUUUAUUUAUAUACGAAAUAAUUACAAACUAAAAUGGUUCUUUAAGAUUGUGUAAAAUGGCGUAUUUUCUCUCCACCUUGGGGUCUUUUUUUUUUUUUAAGAAAAGAGUUAAACUCGGGUCUAUUAAAGACGCAUACCUAACCUCCGAAUGGAAGGUGCAACCCACGGAUGGAUCAUCUCAUGUGUAUUCAAAUGGGCCGUAAACAUGGACCCAUAUCAGCGUGGCCACAUGUGGAACUAAUAAUUUUGCAAUAGAGAAGAGUCGAUCCCUGGCCUAGACCAACAGAGCAACUCCUGCUCUAGUGGAAACCAGUAGAUCACCACGAUGUGGUUUCCACCUUGGGGUCUUCUAAAACUUAAUUUUAUAUUUCUUUCACCAAAUGUGAAAGCCAUACACAAUAUCUUUUAUAAAAUAUUUUACUUUGUAUCAAAAAUAUACUUUGCAUCAUUUUACAGUUACAGGGAAAUUUAUACCACUCAUUAUAUAUGUUUUGUAUACAAAUUUGGUCAAAGUAAUUGGACCGCAGUCUUGGUUUGCUUUUUUCUUGUCUCGGUAUAUAGUAUAUAGUUAAGGCCAAGGUUAGUUUAUAGUUAAACACUACUCUUUCUUAUCAUACUGUAAUCUGAUGUAGGGGUGGGCACUUUACCCGAUACCUGAAACCGCACCCGAAUCCGACCUGAAAAACCAGAACCGAAAUCUGAAUCGAAGUAGCAAAAUACCUGAACGGAUAUUAAGUUAGGAGAUAUUAGAUAUCCGAACCCGAACGGGUAAUAUCCGAAUCCGAAUGGAUAUCCGAAGAUAACCGAACAUAUAUAUACUUACCCUUAUAUUUCUAGUUUACAUCUCUUAUUUUUUUAAAAAAUAUUUAUAUUGAUGUUACACAUAAUUUAAGAUCAUAACUAUAUAUAUAAUUAUGGAGAAAAUGAUUUGAUAUUCAUUUAAAAUGCAUGUCAAACUUUUUGUUUCAUGUAUUAAUAAAAGUUACAUUCAAAGAUUAAAAACAAUACUCAAAUUAAUAUCUAUUUGUUUUUAAAAUUCUAUCUUCAAACCUAUUAAUCAUUCAAUCUAUAAAAAAUAAAAAAUUAACCAGUUAAGUGAAAUCUAUAUUUUUAAAUACAAGAAACUUAAAAAAUGAAAAAAAUAAUUUUUUUCUUUUAAAAUCUAAAUAUCCGAACCCGAUUCAAAAUAACGGAACCCGAAAUAAAAAUAUCCGAACCCGAUCCGAAGUACAGAAAUAUCCGAACGGGUUCUCUAUCCCUAUACCAAAAUACCCGAAAAUCCGAAACACCCAAUCCGAACCGAACGGGUAUCCGAACGCCCAGCCCUAAUCUGAUGCAUCUAUUGAAAAAUUGGUCUUUUUGCUGGUAAACAUAUAUAGCCAAUGUCCCAUCGAUGAACCACGUAAAUCCGUUAUUCGCUUUUUUUUUUGCUUGGUUUUAUUAUCCGUUAAAACAAUAUAGAUCUUUUUCGUGCAUGUUUGAAGUAAAGCGAGAAGAUUAUUAAUGUGACAAUACAAACUUGCUAAUCAAACAUCAGCCUCACAAGAACUGUUAAGCGAUUUGUUUGACUGCGACAAAUAGACCGUGGCAUGAGAGCACUUAAUAUGAGCCGUUCGAUGUGAUGAUUUCCAUACCGCGACUUUAAACCUAACCUUCGCCUUAACAUACACUUCAAGCUCGAUCUUUCCCAAGGAAUGUUGAUCCCUUAAAUCCUUACCACUGGAUUUAGAAACGGCGACGUUCUGUGCAACCAAAGUGUCAUCAAUUUGCGUUACGUUCAUCCGCGGUUGGUGAAACGGCUCCAUCGUGUCGAACGCAAGCGUCUGGUCCUUGAAUUUCACGUAUAUCUCGACGGAAUUGUAGUAGACAGAUAUUCGGUGGUUAGGGUUAUGAGACUGGAUGGUAAGUUUGAACGUAGCGGACAUGUGAUUGUCGUCCGUGAGGUUAAAAUUUUGGACCGAGGCAUUUUCGAGACUGUAAUGAAGCUUUUUGGGUUUGGUUACAAGCCAUGUAAUGAGAAAACCUAGAGCAAUGAUAAAGAUUAGGGUUAGUAUGACGAGGAAAACGUAGCAGACACGGGAACGGCGGGGAUGCAGUGGCCGAUUUGGAGAAGCUGUUGUCGGCAUUAGGUCUACGUACUUCUAGCUAAGGGGGUUUGGAGUCAAACAUUGGCUUAUUUGGUUAUAUAUAUAGAGUGGAUACUUGUCAUGCAAGAAACCUGGAAAACACGUUGGAUUCUUAUGUUCUUUGCUUCAUCAGUAGAUAAAUGAGUUCUGUUUUUUUAUUACAGCUUUAAAACGUUUUGUUCCUUAUACUUUGCUUUUAACAAUUUAUGUUUUAAAGCUUUAAAAACAUUUGUAUAUUUUCAUGCCCUACCAAAAGAAAAGAAAUAAUUGAGAAUAAAGUGAAAACCUUAAUUGUUUAUGAUAUAGAAUUUAAUAAUUUCUUAUGAAUGUAAAUACUAUAAAUACAUUUUAUAAACAUUUUCUAACAAAGAACUCUACGAUUUGAUUGUGUUUUUUUACUUGCAUGGAACCUUGAAUGGUUUUAUUUUGACAUUUUGAUAGCAACUUAUUUUCAGGCUUAAGGAAAAAUUAGAGAAACCUUCUUUAAGAUUAUCUCUGUUCAGAGAAUUUAUUUUGGACAAUGAACUCAAUAUCAAUCUGGAUACCAAGUUUACGGAAUAAGCCCAAUUAAGCUCAAUAACGAUACAAACAAAAAUUGGAUAAGUUACUGGAAUAGGCCCAAGUAAGCCCAAUAACAAAUUAUAGAGCUGUCACGUGCAAAUCGCCGAGUUUUAUAGACCUCCGCGACUCGGUGCACGCAACCCAUUCCCGAACACCAAGAUGUUUCACUGAGUCGACUCGGCCGCCUCCACAUCCCAUCCCAAGUUAGAUAUUUUGUUCUUCUUUUUUUAUCAUUGUUGUGCUCGUGAUUUUAGUCUUGCACUAUGUUAUAGCAAAAGAGUGUAAUGGAAUUGAUUAGUUGAAAUCAUACGGAUGUUCUCUGCGCAUCACAAAAUGAGUAAUUUGAGUUUGUAUUGGAUGAAUUCAUCGUUAAAGUUUGGAUCUAUAUGUAUUGUAAAGGUGUAAUCAUUAUAAUAUUUAUUCAAAGACGUAAUCUUUAAUCGUUCCAAUGUUGGGAAAUAUCUAAUUCUGGUUCAUGUUUUGAAUUUAUAUAAAACCUUUGAGUUACAUUCAUUUUUUUUUAUUAUUUGAUAUGUCUAUGUAUCUUCUCACCUGCUCUGGGACUGAUUCCAUUUUUUUUUUUGGUUUCUCACUAGAGUCUAUUUGCUAAAGGCUAGUUUGCAAUGGCACCGUCGCGUAACGUCAUUGUAGCCACUGGUCUGGUUGUUUUCGCCUCUGCAGGCUUAGCUUUCCCCUUCUACAUGGCGUAAGAACCCCCGCUCUUCGUUUUUCUACUGUUUAAAAGCUUUUCUCGUCUUGUGGAAUGAUGUUUUUCCUUGUCUUAUUUGAUCGCAGAUCGUCCAAGUGUCAAGCCAAAUGGCUACACAAACUGUAAACCUGAGUUUUCAAUGUGAGGAUCAUUUUGGAAUCUCAUUUCUGAUCCAGUCCAUCUAAAACAUAGUUUUAUAUCAAUUGUUUUAUCAUACUUCUUUUACUUUAGAGUCGGCGCGUCAUACGGGCGGGAUAUACUUUACUUGUGUUCUAUGUUAUUAUUUUUUAUAUAAUUUUGUAAUUUGUGUUUUAGGUUCACAUUUGCAAAAGUUGCGUAUGAGAUAUACUAUUUUAUUAAUUUAAGUUAUUGGUUAGUUAAUUUGUAAAUAAUUUUUGUUUGACUUUUUGCUUUUAUGAUAUUACCAUAAUUGAGUUAUUAUAUCAUUUUCAGUUGAAUUUUUUUUAUUAAAGUAUUUAAAAAAAUCACAUUUAGUUAAUGUCAGUGAUUUAUUAUAUAUUAACAUCUAAAUAAUUUAUUUGUUAUAUCUCAAUUUUAGUGUUUGGCCUUUUUAAAGUAGGAAGCUUGAGUCCGUGAACUGAUCCUUAUAUUUUGUCUUUAAAAUGUUGUUGUUUGGGUUAAUGUGGCCCUGUAAAAUUAAUAGUGAAUUUUUAGUGGUGGUAUGAUAGAUAGACGAUUUUGAACUUUUUUGGAAUGUUUUUAGUACCGUAUGUAUUAACUCGGAGGUUAAAUUAACAUUAAUUGUGAACUCAAUUAUUUAUAGGUGUAAAUCCACAACAAUUUGAGAUAGGAGAUGUAUGGAAUGAGACGUUUUGGAUGAGUGAGUCGGUGAUAUUAAUGAAAACAUUAAUUGUAUUUAAUAAAUCUAACAGAGAACAGUAACGCCGCAGUUUUUUCUCAGCGGGAGGAAGAAGAAACAUGUCAUAACCUAAGUCAAAUAAUGCUUUUCGUACAGACCAAUUUUAAAAAUAAUAGUCUUGUUGUAUGGUCCAUUCUAAAUCAAACUUCUUAGUUUUUUAGCAAGCCCAAAUUAAAUUUAUCCUAUUAAUUGAAACGCAACACUUUGGAGUUGACGGACAUGUGUCGAGACCAAAACACUCGACUUAAUGAUGUGGCGCUGAGGUGUUUUCACAGGAGAGAUGCCAACAUUUUUUUAUAUAUAUAGAAGAUAGAUAUUUAAUUCAUUGUCGAGUAGGUUAGUCUCUAGUGUACCAUGUAAUAUUAGAUGAAUGAACCGUUGAAAAUGUAUUUUCGAAUAUUAAAAUUUUCUCUUCUUUUUUUGGUUCAUGAGAGUAAAAUCAAAAAUUGCUGCCUAUGUGCAUAGAGAAGAUAAUUAUUUCUUUCUUAAAUUGUUAUAUAUUAUGGAUGGAGAUACAAUCUUUAUCACUGCCACCAUAUAAGUAAAUAUACUUUAAGACGCCAAAAUGCUAGUUUGAAGUUAGAUUAAUUGUAACGUUCUUUUCUCAAUAUUGUAACUAUUAUUCAGAAAUCAGAAAGUUGCAUGAAUCAACCGAAACUAUUACCCAUAACUUAGCAGAAGCAUGUAUAAGUAUAAUGAAAAACUACGUCAACUUUUUUAACAUAUCCAUUAUGCAGUAUCAUAAUCAAUUUUUUUGCUAACAUCUUAUAUAUUAAAAUAGAAGUCAUAACAUUGAUUUAUGUGUGAUUUUUUAAAAAAUGGAUCUAGUUGACUUAUUUUUAAAAAGUCAUGUUAUAUUUAAUCUCUAAUCUUAUCAUUUAAAUUUUGGGGCUACCAGAAAUUUUUAUUAGGUUAUCAAUAAUUGGAUUUAAACAAUAGAUGAUCCAUUAGAUUUACAGAUAUUAUAAAUUAAGUAGAUAUAAUUUAUUGUUGUAAUACUAUAUCUCCAUAUGUUAAAUAUUUAAAUAUUUGUCGAUGUUAAUUUUUAAAAUAAUUAAAAAAAAAAUUAAUAACAAAAAUCAUAUUAUCUAACAAUGAUUAAUCUUUACUACCUUAAACCAAUGAAAACAAAUUUUAAACUAUAUAGUUUAUUUUAAAAAUUAAACAAAAACUACAUGUUUAAUUAUUUACUCGAUAACAUAAAUCUAUAAAGCGAAAAGUUUAAUUUUCUUAAAACUUUCUAAAUUUAUGAAAUGUUACAAUAUCUUUGAAUAUGACAAUACAAUAAUAUUUUACUAAUCUUUAUAUAUAUAGUUACGAUUUUAAUAAUGAAAUAAUAAUCCGAAAAUAUAUAUAUAGAAGAAGAUACAAAUACAUGUGAAAAUUUGAAACAAUCUAUUCAAUGAAAAAAUAUACCGUAAACUUAUUAUGUUUUAAAAAUUGAUAGACACAUAUAUUUUAUAAUAUAUACUAAUUUAGAAUUGAAAACAAAAUAUUUAUAUAAAAAUAAAUGAAAACAAAAAUACACGCGGUUGCACUGAUCGAGAACUAGUUAAUGUUAAUACACAAGUCAUUUGAUAAUACGUCUUAGAAAUCUUUAUAUUGUGAUAAUCGGACGCUGCUGCUGCGGCGGGCAAUGGACCGGUGAGUGGCCCAAGAAUAAAGAAACAUGGCUCAUAAGCUUGUCUUUCCUAGAGAACGUAGUCCCACAAGAACAAACCCACUUGACAUCCCCACAAUGCUUCUCGUGCGUCCUAAGAUCAGACAGAACCGAGAAAUGCUUCACGUUACAUCUCCUGCACAUAUACAUUUUCGGACAAUGACUUCUCUUGUAAUGAUUCUUGGCGCAAAUCACAGAUUUCAACGGCUGAAAUUUCUCGUGCCUCUGGUUCCAUCUACACCCAUGAUGUGGGCACGAGUAGUAAUGUCUAGUCGACGAGCAUUCGACUUUCUUAUCAUGGCUCGUUGGACUGAUCAAGGCUUCACGUGUCUUGUACUCGUCUCCGUGCGCUCUCAUGUGCAUCCUUAGAUUCGCAUCUCGCUUAAACCCUUUUCCGCAAAUCUGGCAGUAGUGCGUGUAUUUCGCUAGUAGAUCCGCUACGCCUAGCUCCACUAGCUCAUAGUCACCGGAUCUUGAUUUAUAACGAUGAUCUUCUUUUUUAGGGUUUAUGGUUUGGGUGCCGUACCAGUCAAGAUUCUGCGUAGUCUGGUCGAGAAACGAACUACGCCCUCUUUCUUGAACACCGAGAAAGUUGGCUGACGACUCUCUCGUGAAAUCAUUAUGCCUGUCGAUUUCGCGUGGGGAAAAAUCCGUAACAAUUUUAUCGUUAUCGAAAUUACUGUUGUUAUUAGAUGAGAUAUGGAGUUGUUGGCAAGUGAACAUCAUUGAAUUCGCGGCCGUGAUAAUAUCUUGAACCAAACUUUCGAUGUUAGCCACGGCCAAAUACGACGUUGACUCCGUGGAUUGGUUAUUGUUAUUAGUUGAUAUCAUGAAAAAACUGACCAGAGAUUUGAUCUGAUGGACUUUGUUUUGCAUGGUAGAAGAGAGAGCGAUAUGUCGUCCUCGUCUUCCGAUGAUUUUGUGGCGGCCGUCAUGGGAUUAUUGUAGACUGGAUUUGAGGACGUAGUGGUUGUCUCAGAGAAGCAACACACUGAGCCUUCUCCAUUAUUUAUAAUGUGAUCUCCUUGAUUCAUAUGUGUCUAAGACGAAUCUAAGUAACUUGAGUUUUGUUCUUAUUUUGUUCUUUGGAUUUUGUUGGUUCUUUAGAUUCUUUGUGGUGUCUGUCUUUUAUAUUCAUGCCAGACGUUAUACAGGGAUGGAUGGAAGAAGACACUCUACCGUCUAGGCCUCUAUAAAAUACUUGUUAGUUGUGACAUACAUUCACGCACACAAACAAAAUAUGUCUCACAUCUACUUUUAAUUAUUUUAUUUUAUCUUGGUAUCAUUUUAUCAAAUAGAAAUUCAAAAAAUAUUAUCCAAUAUCAUACUAAUUUGGAGAAGAGUAAUAAAAAUACAAAGGAGAAUUAGGAUAUUGAUAUUUAGAAUUGUGGGUAAUUAUAUGGACAGUAGUUAUGACAUGAUACAAUUACACAAUACAUGAGAUGGAGUCAUGAAUGAUGUUUUCCCCUUUGAAACUGCACUUGUCAUUUGUGUAUGAAUUAUUUACAUUAGCUUAAAAGUGGUUUAAUAAAGAUAUGUGAUGUGGUUAACUAGGAAGUCAACUAGAGUAGAGCAAGCAAAUUAUAAGAGCCAUCCCCACUUACGACCUUCCCCACAUAAACCUACUAAUAUUAUGUCAGCUAUAAACGAAGAAUGUCAAUUGUCAAUCCCAGUUGAAUUAAAUUAAUAGUGAAUCAAAGGCCGACAAAAAAAAAUUUAAUAGUGAAUCACCUAAGCAAGUUUUAGAGUUUUAAUAUAUUUAAGAAAAAGUUAAAGAGUUUUUAAUGGCAUGUUCUUCACGUCUUAUAUAUUUGAUAGACCAUAUAACGGUGAAACUUACAUACUAUUUUAUCAUGUAUUAUUUUAUUUUUUUGAAAAAAAAACAUUCAAAUUAAAGACAUAAAAACAUACAAGGUAUAACUUUGAAACCAUAAAGUUUUAGAAAGCAAGAUGAGACAAUCCUCGUAUUCAGCUAAGCAUGAACUUAGAACAGAAAAACUUAUAGGACAUAAGCUUAGUGAAACAAGAAAAUGAUAAAAGAAACACUAGGGAGUAUGGUAUCCUCGGCCUCGGCAACCUCGUUUACCUUUUCCUCGUAUCGUGUUCUAAUCCACAUCUUGAUACUUUUGAAGUGGUUUUAUUGGCCUUUCACCUCUUGACGUGUUGAGAUUUGCCAUAGCAUCACUUAUUAACCCAUCUUCAUCAUCUUGCACAUUCGGUUGCUCAGUAUGAUAGUGAGAGAGGCUGUCAUGUGUGGGUGCAAAGGCCAAUGAAUUGUCUCCUACUUCCAGAUUGGUUUUAGAGACCAUAAUAGGUGAUGAAAUUUCUUCCAUAAUAGUAGGUUCAGCUGGAGCAGAAAUGAUACCUGCUAAUGGUGGUGAAGUGGACUGAGAAUUGGAGCCAAUGGCUAUUGUUACCUUAGAAUGGAUGGGCAAGUUUGCUGGCAUUGAAAGAGCCUUCAGCUCAACACUCUUUUGUGAUUGCAAUUCUUCAAUCUCUAAGUCAUUAAUGUGUUCUACAAUCUGAUCAGUAGAAGAUAGCACUAAACUCGUUUCUGAGUUUUCAACUUGUACCACCACUUGAUCUGAUACAGCACUAAACUGAGCUGGUUCUUUAUCCGUUUCAACACCUCUUACUUCAUUAGACACCUCAUGCAUUGAAACUGUUUCAACAUGAACUUUUCCGUAUCUACUUCAACACCUCUUGCUUCAUUAGACAGAACCUCAUGCAUUGGACCUGUUUCAACAUUCGCUUGGACAGCUGGGAGAAGACAUCUUUUUUCUUUAUGUCCCAAGUGUCCACAUCUGCCACAAGUACUCGGAAUCCAUGUGUACUCCACAUCUACCAAGAAUAUAUUACCUUGUUUAUCAUCUAAAGAAAUUUGCUUAGGGAAGGGCUUGUCAAGUUCUACUUCCACCAACAGUUUUGCUUCCCCCAAAGUAGUCGGAUCAAGGCAGGUCUGUGCGUUUGCAUAGGCUCACCAAGUCCUGAUGCUACAUGACUGAGACCUAAUCUUGAGUAGCAAGAAUCUGGAACAUUUUUUAAAUUUACCCAAACCGGAAUAGUUGAUACUUCAGGGACUUUGAAUGAGUUCACUGAUUUCCAAGGGGAAACAAAUAGCAAACAGUCAUCAACAUGCCAUACACCUCUCUGAACUACCCAUUCCCGAGUUGAAUCAUGGGGAAUGUGAAAUAUAUAAGAUGACUCGCUAAGCUUUCGACAUCCUAUUCUGCAACUUCUUCCCCACAAUCUAUUCACUACAGCAUGAAUUAAACCUCAAGGAGGAAGAGAACAUCGAUGGAACUGGACAAUGACAUACUCUCUUCUAUUCUCUGGUCCUAAACUAAGAACCUGAGAAGGGAUUGUAACCUGAGGAGUUCCAUCAAGUCGGAAGGUAGGCUUGGUUGCUCGAUAAAGAUUUCUGGUUGCAGGAUUCAUUCUAGCAGCCCAUGGAAACCUUAGUGUUCUAUCAUCCUUAAGCUCCGGAACAGGAAUCUUUUGGACCGGAAUGCGUGGAAACUCUCUUACAGCAGUGUGUGGAUCUCUUUUUUUCUUCCCAAUUCCAUCAUUUAGUGUUGGCCAGAAAGAGUCAAGUAGGUUGUUGAGGUACUGUGGGUCAAAAUCUGAUGGUGUUGCUGGCAUUGGAGGAGUAGCAGGUGGUGCGCAUGUCAGAGGUUUGGCCCAUGCUCCAAGAGAUGGAACAAAAGCAUCUGGUGGGUUAGAAGAUAGCUCUCCCGCAUCAACCAAAGAAUCGACAGCAUCAAUUUCUUUUUCAGAAUCCUCAUCAAGAACAGGAACUUUGGCUAUAUCGGUGUUAUUGAUCGGUGAUUGCAGGAGCGCCGGAGAGCUCUCUGUCAUAGAAAAGGGGUAAGAGAGGUUGAUAGUUAUUGGAGAGGAGGAAGCCGGCAAGGAGAAGUUAGAGCUCGUCUUAGUUUUCAUUUCAUCAUUGGGAGGCUUGAGAUCCAUGUCAAAACAGAGCACAAGAGAGAGAUGUUUGGUUUGCUGGGUUCGUAUGGAGAAGACGAGACCGGAUUUGGAGCUCGUGGUGGGAGACGCGCCGGAGCAGAGUCGAGAGAUGAAGACGACUAACAGGCGAAACUUUGACUCUUUUUCUUUUUUUUUCCAAGGGAUUUUUUUUAACUUUCUUUUAUCAUGUAUUAUUUGAAUAUAUUUUCAUUUAAUGGUGAAGUUUACAUAACGGUGGGUGUAGCUUACAUCCCUAAUACUAUCUUAUGUCACACGUAUAACCAAUGCUUUAGAAAAGAACUCCUACAUGCAUUAAUCCUGUUAUCUCCUAUAACAUGCACACUUGUAAACGCGUGCUUAUAUAAUUGGAUCUUACCGGGGAUAUUAACAAUGUGGCAGUCUGCAUGAUGAAGGCCUUUAAAGAUCUGGCAAUCUGCAUGAGUUGAAAUUUUGGUAAGAUAUCUUUGUCAAGCGUAUUCAUUUUAGAUUUUUUUUUUUUUUUUUUGACGUCAAACGGCCAUUUUAUUACUCAAGCUUGAGGGGGGCUGGGUAACCAAACCGGAAUAGAACAACCAACAAAAUGUAACUCUCUAUGGAAGGAUCUAUCAGUCUUAGCUAAAAAAUCUGAAAAAUGAUUGCGCGCUCGUGGUACGUGAAUGAUUUUGAAGUCCGGGAAGAAUAUCUGUAGCGUCUCUAUUCUCUCCAAUUCUGUCGCAAAACUUGGCCAAGCUUUAGGCUCCUUUAUCAUUGCAAUCAGCUCCUUACCAUCUGUCCCAAAGGUUUGACAUGGUGAAUGUUGAAGCAUGUUCUCCAUUGCCCACCGUAGUGUUUCUAUUUUCGAAUACAAGACUGAUUCGCGCCGAGUGAAAUUUUUCGUCCCCAUUAGCUGAAUGACUCCACCACUGUCCAUCCAGACCCAUCCACAUCCACUAAAAAGGACAGAGGUUGUCCAAGAUACAUCGAACAAACAUAUAGUCCCUAAACUUAUGACUUGGGAUUCCUCGGUAUUAUUAUCUUGUAGUAUUCAUUUUAGAUUUCAAAAGAGCUAUUUGUUACAUAUUUAUAUUAAUGAACAAAAUUUGUAUAAAGUGGAUGGAUGAUUAAUGUUAUUUUCUUUGUUAGCUUUGGUGAAUUAUUUGUGGAAGAACGUCGCGUUAACGCAAUUGUGUUCUAAACAAUUACUGCUACCUCAUUUAAUUAAAACUGUAAUCUAUUUCGCGUGAUAAACAAACAAGUCUAUUCUAAUUAAUUUAAUCGUAGAUUCGUCUAGACUAGAAUACUGAAGUGACGCAAAAAGACGUGACCAACGCCUUUAUCAAAAAAAAACGAUGUACUCUUUCGGUCAAUCGCCAGACAUGCGAAGAACAGAACAAUGACUCUAACGCAAGACAAAAGGAUGGUGAAUGCUUACCAAAGCUGGAUUGGGGCUGUGAGAACAUAGCGAAAUAUUUUGACAGUCUCAUUGUUUUAAAAACAAAGUCCUUAACACUAACAUAGUAGCUCAGGCUGUAAACAAGUUCUAUUUUCUUUUGAAUUAAAUUUAACAUUUUAUUCAAAAAAAAAAGAUGCGACCAACACAAGCUAUAUUACCAACUAUGCGUUAAGUUAGUGGUUUAGCGCUUGGAAUCAAUUUCAUGUUUCUAAUUAAAUUUUCAUUGGGAAGAUGGAUUUACGCCAUGUCUCCAUAUUAUCAACCACUGCUUCCAGUCUGGAAGGAUUAGUCAGACCUAAGGUCUGGAUCAUAUUAUAUUUAAUUUUAUUGGAAAGUCGGAACACUUGGAUUGGGAGGAUGAUGAUCAUAUUCUAAUUGCCAUGAAUUAUCUUUACUUUAAAUUUCAUUUAAAACAUGUUUGGUAUGAAUUAGGGGUUUGAACAAUUGAAAUUCCAUUACAACUCUUAAUUUUUUUUUUUUGUCAACAACUCUUAAUUUUAUUACUAGAUUCUUAGCUAACAAAAAGAAGAAGAAAAACAGUAAACUAGUUUAGAAAUGAUUAAUCAACAUAAAGAAAGAUCUAAUGGACUAGAGUGGUCUCUCUAGACUCUAGUUGUGAGAUAAAAAAAAGAACAAAUGUGUUGCCAGAUAUAACAAAAAUGAAGAAGAAUAAAAAGUAACAGAAAUAAAAUUAAAAAAUGUGUUCCCACUGAAGCAACUAUUUCGCCUUUUAGGAUUGAACAUGGACUUUUUAACAAUUGAUUAUUUUGUGACAUAAAAGCAACUACGCUUUUUCUAGGAUUGAACAUGGACUUUUUAACAAUUAAUUAUUUUGUGAAAUAUUCUUUACGGAAUGUUCCAUAUCGUGUUUUAUUCAUAUAUCCCACAAAUUCUUUUAUCAUUUAUCUUAAAUGGAAGGAAAUGAUAGUUUUCUUCUUUCUUCUUUUGGUAUUGUCUGUUAUAGUAGUACUAGCUAGGUGGUGAGGGACCCGUAAAUUAGCAGAUUUAAGUUGUGUAAAACUAUUAGAAAACUAACUGUAACCAGAAUCUUAUUGAUCUUGUUUCUGAUUAGUUCUUUGCCUAUUCACAAUUUUACUAUUCUUAGGGAAUUUUUAAACACAGAUGAAAAAAUUACAAUUAAGUUGUUGGACCUGACAUAAACACUGGUUCACGCGAUGUUGGACCUGACCAUCGUACAUACCCUAAGAAAUGAUGCUAUCGAGUCAAGACACAUCGCUACACAAACUGUAAACACGAGUUUUCAAUGGGAGUUCAUUUUUGAAUCUCUUUUAUGAUCCAAUCCACCAAAAUAUGGUGUUAUAACAUUUUUUUGCUUUAUAUACUUCCUUUAUUUAAAAUAUUUAGUAAUAAUUGUCAAGUAGUCUAUACUGUACAUCUAUAUCAGAAGAAAUGGACCGUUGAAAAUGUAUUGUCAAAAUUAAAAAUUCUUUUUUUUUUUCUAUUCAUGAGAGAAAAUCACAAUGGAUGAAAAUUGCUGCGUAUGUGCAUAGAGAAGAUAAUUAUUUCUUUCUUAACCAAGUUGCUUUGGUCUAGUGGUAUAGGAGCUCCAGCUGGAUUGACCGCCCCUGGGUUCAAGCCUUGGCCACUGCGGAAUUUACAUGUGGGCUGCAGCACCCGAGACCGAAGACCGUUACACGGUGAGCCACAUGGUGACGCCCUGGCAGCGUCCUUGCUCACUUCGGUCUCUAGUCUGGACCACCUCGGUGGGGCCAGGAUACUCGAUUAGCAAAAAAAAAAAAAAAUUAUUUCUUUCUUAAAUUGUUAUAUAUGGACGAAAAUACUAUCUUUAGUGCUGCCACCAACUGACACCAAUUGUAAACAUAUGUCAAAUAUAUUAUAAGAUGUUACAUUGCUAGUUUGAAGUCAGAUGAGCCAUUGUCACGUUAGUUUCUCAACAUUGUAACUAUUAUUCAGAAAUCAAAAGUUGCAUGGAUUAACCAAAACUAUUACCCAUAACUUAGCAGAAGCAAGAAUGAUGAAAAACUACGUACUCUUUUUUAACAUAUCCAUAAUGCAGUAUCGUAAUCAAAAUAAUUUGUAACAUUAACGCUAAUGCACAAGUCAUUUGAUAAUACGUAGAAAUCUUUAUAUUGUGAUAAUCGGACGCUGCUGCGGCGGCGGGCCAUGGACCGGUGAGUGGCCCACGAAUAAAGAAACAUGGCUCAUAAGCUUGUCUUUCCUAGAGAACGUAGUCCCACAAGAACAAACCCACUUGAUAUCCCCACAAUGCUUCUCGUGCGUCCUAAGAUCAGACAAAACCGAGAAAUGCUUCACGUUACAUCUCCUGCACAUAUACAUUUUCGGACAAUGACUUCUCUUGUAAUGAUUCUUGGCGCAAAUCACAGAUUUCAACGGCUGAAACUUCUCGUGCCUCUGGUUCCAUCUACACCCAUGUUGAGGGCACGAGUAGUAAUGUGUCAUCAAUGAGUGUCCUUCGACUUUCUUGUCAUGGCUCGUUGGGCUGAUCAAGGCUUCACGUGUCUUGUACUCGUCUCCGUGUGCUCUCAUGUGCAUCCUUAGAUUCGCGUCUCUCUUAAACCCUUUUCCACAAAUCUGACAGUAAUGCGUGAACUUUGCUAGUAGAUCGUCUGCGCCUAGCUCCAAUACCUCAUAGUUCCCGGGUCUUGUUUUAAAACGAUGCUGAUCUUUUUUAGGGUUUAUGGAUUGUGUGCCAUGCCAGUCAAGAUUAUGGUCAAUAAACGAAAUAUUUCCUCUUUCUUGGACGCCAAGAAAGUUGGUUGACGACUCUGGCGGGAAGUCAUGAUCCGGUUCGGUCUCUUGUGUGGAAUACUUCAUAACAAUUGCAUCAACGGUUUGUUCGUUAUUGAAGUUACUGUUGUUGUUAGAUGGGAUGUGGCGUUGUUGGCAAGUGAGCAUCAUUGAAGUAGCUGCCGUGACGAUCUCUUGAACCAAGCUUUCGAUGUUAGCCACGGCCAAAGACGACGUUGACUCCGAGGAUUGGUUGUUGUUAGAGAUCAUGAAAAAGCUGACCAGAGAUUGGAUGUGGUGGACUUUGUCUUGUAUUGUGGAGAGAUUGAGUAGAAGAGAGAGCGAAAUGCUGUGGUCCUCUUCCGAUGAUUUCGUCGCCGCCGUCAUGGGAUAGAGAUGAUUUGAGGACGUAAUGGUCGUCUCGGAGAAGCAAGGCAUUGAGCCUUCUCCGUUGUUCAUAAUAUGCUCUCCUUGAUUCAUAUGAUCUUCUUGAUUCAUUUGUGUAUAAGAAGAAUCUAAUUAACUUGAGUUUAACCUUAUUUGUUCUUUUGAUUUUCUUGGUUCCUUAAAUUCUUUGUGGUGUAUUUGUUUUAUAUAUAUAUGACAGCCUUCCUAGAGGGGUGGAUUAUUGAAUAAGACACCCUACCUUCUAAGCAUACAUUCACGCACACAAAUGUAUACGAUUCACGCCUACUAUUUUUUUAUCUUUUUUUGGUAUUAUUUUAUCAAUUUUUUUCUUUCUAAAUCAGCUACUAUUCUACUAAUUUGGAAAACAUUUGAAAAAAGCAAAUUCUGGCAACGGUAUUUAGCCAAAAACAAACACAAAUGAAAUACAAAGGAGAAACCGGCAAUCUAUUGAAUCUGACGAUUCUUUGAGCCAUGCAUUCAUCGCUGAAUUCAAAGUCCGAUAGACGUAUCUUGAUUUCAUAUUUAAUAAGCGUUUAAAUAUUUUCUAUAUAGUGAUUUGUGUAUAGAAAAAUGUUUCAGAUUGUAGUCUAUAUAUUUUUUGUGGAUAUCAAUCCAUUAAUUAAGACCUCAAUCCACUAAUUACGACCUAAGAAUAUUUGGAAUAAUAUUUUGAGUAACUUAAUUUAUGGACAGUAAUUAUGACACAAUGUAUGAAAUGAAGUCAUGAAUGAUACAUUAGGUUAAAAGUUGAUGUGAUUAACAAGAAAUUCAACUAGAUUAGAGAAAGCAAGUAAGACCUUCCUCGCAUAAACCUACUAAUAUUUUGUCAGCUAUAUAUAUCUUAAAAUAAACGAAGAAUGUCAAUCCCAAAUUCCCAAUUAAAUUAAAUUAAAAGUAACUAACUUAAGUCAAGUUUUAGAUGGCCUGUUCGUCACGUAUUAAUUGAAUAUACAUUCAUAUGACGAUAAAAUUUACAGAACGGUGAAGAUUAUAUACCAUCUUAUGCCACUUAUUAUUUGAAUAUACAUACAUGUAACGCCAGCUUACAUACUAUCUUAUGUCACAUGUAUAAACAAUGCUUUAAAAAUAUUCUUCAACAUGCAUUCCUCGUACUGCUUUUAUGCGCAUAUGUAAACGCGUGCUAUAUAAUAGGAUGUUACAGGGAACAUUAACAAUGAGGCAAUCUGCAUGCGUUGCAAUUUUUUAGUAGAGUAAUCUGGGUCAACCGUAUUCAUUUUAUAUUUCAAAGGGAAUAACUUUAGUUGGAACUUGGAACAUAUCUAUAUUAAUGAAUAACUGGCAUUUAUAUAAAGUGGAUGGAUGAUUAAUGCUCUUUUUGUAGCUUUGGUAAAUUAUUUGUGGAAGAAUGUCGAGUCAACGCAAUUGUGUUAGAAAUUUUGCUACCUACAUGCGGGUCCACACGAAUCAAAUAUACAGAUUUUUAAAGUAUUCGUUUUGUUCGAAUAAUCAAUUAUCUGAUUCGAUUUUUUGCUAUUCCGAAAUUCGGUGUACAUAUAUUCAAAAAAUUAUAUUUUAAUUGGAUCUUCGAUUCGAUCCAUACCAAUAAAUUAAAAACUAAAAUAUCCAAAAUAAUAUAAAUAAUAGUAUUUUAUUACAAAAAUAAAAAUUAUUUACUUUAAUUUUUUUAAUAACUAAAAUAAUCAAUUUAAUAAAAAAAAUAUUAUAAAGCUUAUAUAUAAUUAUAGAAAUAUAUGUAUAUAUAUAUAUAUAUGCACAUAAUAGAUCGUAUUGAAUAUCCGUGAUAUGAUUGCUUCGUUUUUACGAAUAUUACAUAUUAGAGCAUGUUUAUUGUAGAUCUUUUAGAUUAAAUCUCUUAUCGUAAUAUAAGAUACGGUCUCUUAGCUUUUAACUAAAAAAAACUAAGAGACGUCUCUUAAAUAAAAGAUAUAAGAGACGUCUCUUAACUUUUUUAGUUAAAAUCUAAGAGACUGUAUCUUAUAUUACGUUAAGAGACUCGACCUAAGAGACAUGCAAUAAACAUGCUCUUAGUAUUUGCUUUGCUUCAAAGAGUUACGGAUACCUAAUUUUUUUGGUUAAAAAACGAAUAACAAAUCAAAUCAAAUUUAAAUAUAUUUUGUCCGGCUUAGUUACAACUAUAAUCUAUUUCGGAUGUCAAACAGCAGUAUUUUAACUAUUUUUGUUUUUAGAAAUUGAUCCGUCAAUACUAUAAAAUUGGAAAAUGACGCAAAAAGAUGUGACCAUCCAACUUAUACUAUAUUUUAAUUUGUUGGAAAAUCAGAGUUGAUCUAGUCAGAUUGACUCAGGAGUGGAAUGAUAUUGAUAUUCCAAUUGUCAUGAAUCAUCCUUAACCUUUUUAAGAAAUUUCCAUAUUCAUGCUUUUAAUUUCAUUCAUUUAAAACAUUUUUUUGAUUAAAUUUGGAGUUUGAACGGUUAAAAUGCCCUUACAACCCUUAGUUUUAUAUAUUACUAGUUUUUUAGCAAAAAAAAAAAACUAUUUUAGCAAUGAUUAAUCAACCAUAAGAAAGAUCUGAUUGACUAGAGUGGUCUAGUGAGAAAUGAAGAACAAAUGUGUUGUAAAAAUACGAAUAACAGAACAAAUGUAGAUGAACAAAAAGUAACACAAAUAAAACUAAGAUUUGUUGCCCAUUAAAGCAACUAUUAUGCUUUUUCUAUGACAUGUGCCUUUUAACAAUGGAUUAUUGAGUGAAGUUUUUUAUGGAAGGUUUUUAUUCAUAUAAAGUCCACAAAAUUUCAUCAUUUAUCUUAAAUGGACUGAAACGAUCAUUUGUUCUUUUUAUUCUCUCUUCUUUCUCCUUUUGGUAUUCUGUUAUAGUAGGCGGUGACCCGUAAGUUUUAUAAAAGAACAAGAUUUAGGUAUCUUUAAAUUCACAUCUCCUCUUAUUACUAAUCAAAAUGUCACAUAAAUUAAUAAUAAAAUAGAUUAAUUUUAUUUAAAAAAAUCUGAAAUAAUUGAAAAAAAAUAAUAACGCCAAUUUUAAUGAUAUUAACGCUAUUAACUAAACCCUAAGCUUUAAAUCUAUACCCUAAACCCAAAUCAUAAACCCUAAAUCCAAACCGUAAACCGUAAACCCAAACUCUAUAUCCUAAACCCAAAUCCUAAAUCCUAAACCCAAACCGUAAACCCUAAACUCAAACUCUAUCUCCUAAACCCAAAUCAUAGACUCUAAACUCAAACGAUAUAUCCAAACCUAAUCCUUACGCCCUAAACUCAAAUCGUAAACCCUGAACCCAAAUCCUAUAUCCUAAAGGUUUGGGUUAAUGUUGAUGUUGUUUCUUUAAAGUUUAAGAUUUGGGUUUAGAUUCUAGGGUUUGAGUUUAAGGUGUAGGGUUUAGGUUUAAAGUUUACAGUUUGGGUUUAGGGUUUAGGAUUUAGGAUUUGGGUUUAAGAUAUAUGGUUUGGGUUUAGGGUUUAGAGUUUGGGUUUAGAAUUUAGGGUUUAGGGUUUAGAUUUAAGGUUUAGAGUUUAGAAUUAGGGUUUAGUUAGUGACGUUAGCGUUAUUAAAAUGAAUGUCAUUAUUUUUUUAAAAUUAUUUUAGAUUUUUUUAAAAGAAAAAUGUAUUUUAUUAUUAAUCUAUGCGGCAGUUUGAUUGGUAAUAAGAGAAAAUGUGAAUUUAAAAAUUCACCUUAGGUGACCCUAAGUUUUAUUCUUUAGAAAACUGUAAGAAAAACCAACUGUAACCAGAAUCUUAUUAAUCCUGUUUCUGAUUAGUUCUUUGCCUAUUCACAAAUUUCCUAUUCUCAGGUUUUUUUUUUAAAACAUAGAUGAAAAUAACAAUUAAGUUGUGUAAACCUGUAAAAUAACCUAACAGUAAGCAGAAUCUUAUUAAUCUUGUUUCCGGUUAGUUCUUUGCACAUUCACACACUUACUAUUCUUAGGGUUUUCGAAAACCACACAUGAAAAAAACUUUCGUUCACACUUCGAUUCUUGUUUCCAACAGUAAAAACUAAUUAAAUGAAUUUAUUCGUGUUAAAAAACAAAUCUUUAUAAUCGUCUCUCCGUAAAAAAAUUGUUAGUGCAAUCUUUUCUUUGGUCUGUUUCCUUUUGUUUGUUGUUGGAUUCUUCUUCGUCUUCGUUGAGGGUUUUCAACAAUGGAGUUUGGAGAUGAUAAGAUGCUUUACCUGAGAGACACAUGGAAAGAAUCAAACAUGAUCUGCGACGUCACGCCUCUAAACCCUAGCUCUAAUGGCGUUUGGCCUUCUCCUAACUUCACAGAUCCUAAUAUAAACAUUCAUUUCUGGGACCACGCGUUUCCACACUUACAGUUGAUAUUUCUCGUCAUUUCUUUCCUAUGGCAGUUCUUGCAUUUCUUCCUCCGCCGUCUCGGCAUGAUACGUUUCACGUCCCAUAUGCUUGUGAGUUAUUAUCACGAUCUCUCUAGAUUUUGAGUUUGAGGUUUGGUAUUUAUAUAUAUUUUUUUUUGUAGACUGGUGUUCUCUUGAGCAAGUCUUUUAUAAAUGAGAAUACAGCUGCGAGGAGAUUCUUCGCUUCAGAGGAUUACAAAGAGAUUGUGUUUAGUCUUGUUUCUGCUUGCUCUUACAUGAUGUUCUGGUUCUUGAUGGGAGUUAAAAUGGACAUGGGUUUGAUCCGAACCUCGGGGAGGAAAGCUAUCACCAUUGGUCUUUCCUCUGUCUUACUCUCCAUUUUGGUUUGUUCAGUUAUCUUUUUCGGAAACUUGAAAGACGUGGGAAACAAGAGAUCGGAUAAUACGCUUAGUUCUUUGGAAGCCGUAGUGGUUUACUCGAUACAAUGCCUUUCUUCUUUCCCUGUCGUUGGGAACCUUCUCUUUGAGCUAAGGCUACAGAACUCAGAGCUAGGUCGUCUCGCCAUCUCCGCUGCCGUCAUCAGCGACUUCAGCACCUCGGUUCUCUCUUCAUCUCUCAUCUUCAUGAAGGAGCUCAAGGACGAGCAAACACGGCUCGGGAGCAUGUUUAUAGGAGAUGUCAUCGCUGGGAACCGUCCUUUGAUGCGAGCAGCGGUAGCUGUUCUCUUUGUUUGUGUUGCCAUCUAUGUUUUCAGACCGUUGAUGUUCUACAUUAUUAGAAAAACACCAUCUGGUCGGCCCGUCAGGCCAAUCUACCUAGCUAUAAUCAUUGUUAUGGUCUCUGGAUCAGCCGUACUUGCCAACUGGUGCAAACAAUCUAUUUUCAUGGGACCUUUCAUAUUAGGUCUCGCUGUUCCUCAUGGCCCUCCUUUAGGCUCGGCGAUCGUUCAGAAGUUUGAGUCAGCAAUAUUCGGCACUUUUCUUCCGUUUUUCGUUGCCUCAUCUUCAAGUGAGAUAGACAUUUGGGCUUUGCUUAAUUGGAGUGCACUCAAUGGCAUUAUAUACAUCAUGGUAACAUCUUUCGUCGUCAAGUUUAUUUUGACCACUCUUCCUGCUUUGUUCUACGGUAUGCCAAUGGAAGACUGCUUCGCCAUCUCUCUUAUUAUGUCUUUUAAAGGCAUCUUCGAGCUCGGUGCCUACGCCUUGGCCUUCCAAAGAGGGGUAUGUAGACACUAGACACACAUAUACGCCACUAGACACACAUAUACGCCACAACCAUAUAUAAUCAAUGUUCAAAAAAUCAUUAGGCAGUAGUUAUGCGCUUUCUAGAAAAUUAAUGCUUAGGCAGGUGUCUAUAGUCGCUGCCGUCUAGACUGACUUUUUCAAAUUGUUUCAUUUAUGAUUAUUUUGCCGUCUAGGUGCACUGACCAUAAUUAUUUUAAUACAAAAAACUCUAUCUCAUGUCUAUGUUUUGAACAUUUGCAGUCUGUCCGUCCUGAGACCUUCACCGUUGCAUGUCUUUACAUAACGUUGAACUCCGCAAUCGUACCUCCGAUUCUGAGGUACUUAUACGACCCAUCGAGGAUGUACGCAGGGUACGAGAAGCGGAACGUGCAGCACCUGAAACCGAACUCCGAGCUGAGGAUCUUGUCGUGCAUCUACAGAACAGAUGACAUAAGCCCAAUGAUCAACCUCCUUGAAGCCAUAUGCCCGUCCCGGGAAGCUCCUGUAGCAGCCUACGUUCUCCACUUGUUAGAGCUCGUGGGGCAAGCCAACCCCAUCUUCAUUUCCCACAAGUUACAGACUUGCAAAACAGAAGAGACGUCUUUCUCAAACAAUGUGGUUCUCUCCUUUGAAAAAUUCCACAAAGAUUUAUUCGGUUCGGUCUUCGUAAGCACCUUCACGGCCGUGUCUAUGCCCGAUACGAUGCAUGGAGACGUAUGCAUGCUUGCAUUAAACAACACUACUUCUCUCAUCCUCCUUCCUUUUCACCAGAGUUGGUCUGCUGACGGAUCAGCUCUCAUCUCGGACAGCAACAUGAUCAGGAACCUUAACCAGAGCGUUCUUCAAGUAGCGCCAUGCUCUGUCGGAAUCUUUGUCUAUAGAAGCAGCUACGGUCGGAGAAACAUCAAUGACACGGUUUUAAACAUGUCAUCCUACAAAGUAUGUAUGAUCUUCAUUGGUGGUAAAGACGAUAGAGAAGCCGUGACACUUGCGACUAGAAUGUCACGUGACCCUAGAAUUAACCUGACCGUGGUCCGAAUGACUACUGUCGAUGAUAAAGUAAAAGAAAUCUCGGAGUGGGAUAAAAUGCUUGACGAUGAACAUCUUAGAGAGAUGAAGAGCAACGCAUCAGUAGAUGUCUUUUAUACUGAAAAGGCGAUCUUAGACGCUACUGAGACACCGGGUGUGAUGAAAUCGUUGGCGAGUGAGUUCGAUAUGUUCGUAGUGGGGAGAGGAAAAGGGAGGAAGAGUGUGUACACGGAUGGGCUUGAGGAGUGGAGUGAGUUUAAAAAACUGUAAGAAAAACCAACUGUAACCAGAAUCUUAUUAAUCCUGUUUCUGAUUAGUUCUUUGCCUAUUCACAAAUUUCCUAUUCUCAGGUUUUUUUUUUAAAACAUAGAUGAAAAUAACAAUUAAGUUGUGUAAACCUGUAAAAUAACCUAACAGUAAGCAGAAUCUUAUUAAUCUUGUUUCCGGUUAGUUCUUUGCACAUUCACACACUUACUAUUCUUAGGGUUUUCGAAAACCACACAUGAAAAAAACUUUCGUUCACACUUCGAUUCUUGUUUCCAACAGUAAAAACUAAUUAAAUGAAUUUAUUCGUGUUAAAAAACAAAUCUUUAUAAUCGUCUCUCCGUAAAAAAAUUGUUAGUGCAAUCUUUUCUUUGGUCUGUUUCCUUUUGUUUGUUGUUGGAUUCUUCUUCGUCUUCGUUGAGGGUUUUCAACAAUGGAGUUUGGAGAUGAUAAGAUGCUUUACCUGAGAGACACAUGGAAAGAAUCAAACAUGAUCUGCGACGUCACGCCUCUAAACCCUAGCUCUAACGGCGUUUGGCCUUCUCCUAACUUCACAGAUCCUAAUAUAAACGUUCAUUUCUGGGACCACGCGUUUCCACACUUACAGUUGAUAUUUCUCGUCAUUUCUUUCCUAUGGCAGUUCUUGCAUUUCUUCCUCCGCCGUCUCGGCAUGAUACGUUUCACGUCCCAUAUGCUUGUGAGUUAUUAUCACGAUGUCUCUAGAUUUUGAGUUUGAGGUUUGGUAUUUAUCUUCUUUUUUUUUUUUUUUUGUAGACUGGUGUUCUCUUGAGCAAGUCUUUUAUAAAUGAGAAUACAGCUGCGAGGAGAUUCUUCGCUUCAGAGGAUUACAAAGAGAUUGUGUUUAGUCUUGUUUCUGCUUGCUCUUACAUGAUGUUCUGGUUCUUGAUGGGAGUUAAAAUGGACAUGGGUUUGAUCCGAACCUCGGGGAGGAAAGCUAUCACCAUUGGUCUUUCCUCUGUCUUACUCUCCAUUUUGGUUUGUUCAGUUAUCUUUUUCGGAAACUUGAAAGACGUGGGGAACAAGAGAUCGGAUAAUACGCUUAGUUCUUUGGAAGCCGUAGUGGUUUACUCGAUACAAUGUCUUUCGUCUUUCCCUGUCGUUGGGAACCUUCUCUUUGAGCUAAGGCUACAGAACUCAGAGCUAGGUCGUCUCGCCAUCUCCGCUGCCGUCAUCAGCGACUUCAGCACCUCGGUUCUCUCUUCAUCUCUCAUCUUCAUGAAGGAGCUCAAGGACGAGCAAACACGGCUCGGGAGCAUGUUUAUAGGAGAUGUCAUCGCUGGGAACCGUCCUUUGAUGCGAGCAGCGGUAGCUGUUCUCUUUGUUUGUGUUGCCAUAUAUGUUUUCAGACCGUUGAUGUUCUACAUUAUUAGAAAAACACCAUCUGGUCGGCCCGUCAGGCCAAUCUACCUAGCUAUAAUCAUUGUUAUGGUCUCUGGAUCAGCCGUACUUGCCAACUGGUGCAAACAAUCUAUUUUCAUGGGACCUUUCAUAUUAGGUCUCGCUGUUCCUCAUGGCCCUCCUUUAGGCUCGGCGAUCGUUCAGAAGUUUGAGUCAGCAAUAUUCGGCACUUUUCUUCCGUUUUUCGUUGCCUCAUCUUCAAGUGAGAUAGACAUUUGGGCUUUGCUUAAUUGGAGUGCACUCAAUGGCAUUAUAUACAUCAUGGUAACAUCUUUCGUCGUCAAGUUUAUUUUGACCACUCUUCCUGCUUUGUUCUACGGUAUGCCAAUGGAAGACUGCUUCGCCAUCUCUCUUAUUAUGUCUUUUAAAGGCAUCUUCGAGCUCGGUGCCUACGCCUUGGCCUUCCAAAGAGGGGUAUGUAGACACUAGACACACAUAUACGCCACUAGACACACAUAUACGCCACAACCAUAUAUAAUCAAUGUUCAAAAAAUCAUUAGGCAGUAGUUAUGCGCUUUCUAGAAAAUUAAUGCUUAGGCAGGUGUCUAUAGUCGCUGCCGUCUAGACUGACUUUUUCAAAUUGUUUCAUUUAUGAUUAUUUUGCCGUCUAGGUGCACUGACCAUAAUUAUUUUAAUACAAAAAACUCUAUCUCAUGUCUAUGUUUUGAACAUUUGCAGUCUGUCCGUCCUGAGACCUUCACCGUUGCAUGUCUUUACAUAACGUUGAACUCCGCAAUCGUACCUCCGAUUCUGAGGUACUUAUACGACCCAUCGAGGAUGUACGCAGGGUACGAGAAGCGGAACGUGCAGCACCUGAAACCGAACUCCGAGCUGAGGAUCUUGUCGUGCAUCUACAGAACAGAUGACAUAAACCCAAUGAUCAACCUCCUUGAAGCCAUAUGCCCGUCCCGGGAAGCUCCUGUAGCAGCCUACGUUCUCCACUUGUUAGAGCUCGUGGGGCAAGCCAACCCCAUCUUCAUUUCCCACAAGUUACAGACUUGCAAAACAGAAGAGACGUCUUUCUCAAACAAUGUGGUUCUCUCCUUUGAAAAAUUCCACAAAGAUUUAUUCGGUUCGGUCUUCGUAAGCACCUUCACGGCCGUGUCUAUGCCCGAUACGAUGCAUGGAGACGUAUGCAUGCUUGCAUUAAACAACACUACUUCUCUCAUCCUCCUUCCUUUUCACCAGAGUUGGUCUGCUGACGGAUCAGCUCUCAUCUCGGACAGCAACAUGAUCAGGAACCUUAACCAGAGCGUUCUUCAAGUAGCGCCAUGCUCUGUCGGAAUCUUUGUCUAUAGAAGCAGCUACGGUCGGAGAAACAUCAAUGACACGGUUUUAAACAUGUCAUCCUACAAAGUAUGUAUGAUCUUCAUUGGUGGUAAAGACGAUAGAGAAGCCGUGACACUUGCGACUAGAAUGUCACGUGACCCUAGAAUUAACCUGACCGUGGUCCGAAUGACUACUGUCGAUGAUAAAGUAAAAGAAAUCUCGGAGUGGGAUAAAAUGCUUGACGAUGAACAUCUUAGAGAGAUGAAGAGCAACGCAUCAGUAGAUGUCUUUUAUACUGAAAAGGCGAUCUUAGACGCUACUGAGACACCGGGUGUGAUGAAAUCGUUGGCGAGUGAGUUCGAUAUGUUCGUAGUGGGGAGAGGAAAAGGGAGGAAGAGUGUGUACACGGAUGGGCUUGAGGAGUGGAGUGAGUUUAAGGAGCUUGGUGUUAUUGGUGAUUUACUGGCUUCACAUGAUAUCAAUUCUCAGGCUUCUGUUUUGGUUAUACAACAACAACAGCUUAUGAUUUAGGUCAAUGUUCCUUGUUACCUACGCAAUUCAUUUGUAGUUUUACCAAUUUUCUUUUCACUAUAGUCAUUCGAAAGUUAAUUGUAAUUAUGGUAUUCUUUUGUAAAUUUCACUUAAUCCAUUCAAAUUUUUUUUUUGUAACUUAAAUUUCACUUAAUCCAUUCAAAUUUUACUUUCUGGAAAACUCAGUUUCUCGUUAAGAUAAAGCUUUGUUCAUCAGAAGAGCAAAUUAACUGAGAAGAAAUUGAUUGGUGUAUGUCAUGUAUCAUCAACAUAAUGUGGAUUCACCCAUGAUGUGAAGUACUUCUCUGUUUGAUGAGGUCAUUGACAUGUGACACUCACUCAUGUUGUUGAGCUACUAAAACAGAAACUCUAGUUCUUAGAUCUUCAGAUGCAAGCAGCUCCGGUCUAACAUUUUCAAUUUUUUAUGUCUUAUUAUGUUCACUUAAAACUUUGCGUCUUUUUAUUCAUGUGAAAUUUUAUAGUGUUAUAUAUACAAUUAAAAUUUUCAUUUAAAAUCAUGAUGUGCUAAGCGGUGGGGUUUUUUUUACCUAUGCUCUGGACCGGCCAUAGAUGCUAGCAAACCGGAUGCCUCCUAACUCCUAAAGCUCCAUCCACUCAGCUAAUCCAGAGAAACCCCCAGUGAUUCAUCAUCAUUGUGAUCUUUCUCCCUAUAAUCACCAAGUCAAUACUUUUUCACCACCAAUGUUUAUUGUGGUGACCACCGUUGAGAAUCUUCUCCGAGUAGGUGAAACUUUCGGCCGUGGAAUAUGUUUCCUCCAAAUCAUUCAAGACUCUGUCAACACUAAGUGGUUGAUUGUUUGUGGUUUUUGCUUUAGUUUUUGGUUUUUGCUUUUGUAGAAACCAUUUUUCAUCCAAUCAAGUUUUUGGUUUUAAUUUUUGUUUUUCUAAAAACCAUUUGAGUUGCCAAUCAAGAUUUUCAAUAAAUAGAUUCCCUAAAAUUUAGGGAAACUAGUUUUUGAAAAGUUUAACCAAUUUAUGAAGAAAAACCAAAAACCAACUUUUGUGAGCUUUUAUGAAGAAAAACGAAUUUUGAUUUUUUUUUGUAGAAACUACUACAUUAUAAUUAAUUAAUAAUUAAUAAAUAAUAUUUUCAUAAAAGUUAAAAUUAUCAUAAAAUAUUUUGUACAUUAGAUAUCAUUUAAACAAUAAUGUGAAAUAUUUUAAUUUGUGUUUCAUAUCUGUAAAUAAAUUUAUAUAUUUUAUAAAUAAUAUUAUUUAAUUUUAAAACUUAGUUAUUAGUUUCUAUAAAUAAAACAAUUGAAUAAUUUUAAUAAUUAUUAGUCACAUUAAAAAUAACAAAAAAUUAUAAAAACAUAAUAUGUUUUAUUAAUAAAAUAUAUUGUAUAAUCCUGAAUUAUAAAAAUUGCCAUUCAACUUUAAGAAAAUAUAAAUAAUUUAUAUAAGAAAAUUUAUAAUUAGUUUCAAAAUUUUAUGUAUUUUUAUUUUUGUAUCAUUUAUAAUAUUUAUAUAAGAAAAAAUUUUCUAUUCAAGUUUUAAAAAUUAAAAACCAAAAACCAAAAUCUAAAAACCAAAAUCUAAAAUCUAAAAACCAAAAACUAAAACUAAAAACUAAUGAAACAAUCAUCACCUAAGCCUGUCUAAGUUUUAAAUUUUGUUUUUAGUUUUUCAAAAUUUAAGAUUUUUAAUUUAUUCAUUUUAAGUUUUAAUCUAAUAGAUCUUAACAGGUUGGUUAAUUUGUUCCGAAUCAGGUUGGACUGAGCCAACUUUUGAAAUGGGGCAAAUCUCCAAAAUAGCACCUUUUUAAGUUUAUAUCACAAAAAUAGCACUCAAAAACUAGAAUGACCAAAGUAGCACAUUUCUAAGUUUAUCCUUUGAAAAUUUUAAUUUUUUUAUUUUUCAAAAAUUUGAAAUCUUAUCCCCAAAACCUCAUUUCUCAACUCUAAACCCUAAACCCUAAACUCUAAACCCUAAACCCUAAACCAUAAACCGUAAACCCUAAACUCUAAACCCUAAACCGUAAACUCUAAACCCUAAAUUCUAAACUCUAAACCCUAAACCCUAAACCCUAAACUCUAAACCAUAAACCGUAAACCCUAAAUCCUAAACCC
RNAcentral lists this long non-coding RNA (27039 nucleotides) under Brassica napus (rape). RNAcentral describes it as "long non-coding RNA (BNAP_LNC010663)". The stretch from base 16788 to 16913 matches the Rfam family "MIR9563 microRNA precursor family". The record is from RNAcentral. Lineage: Eukaryota; Viridiplantae; Streptophyta; Magnoliopsida; Brassicales; Brassicaceae.